UGUACAGUUCGACGACAGGAAAAACCAAUGAAGAUCCAGUUGAAAUGAUUCUCAAAUUUCUAUAAAAUCAGUCAGAUCCAUCACAUGGAGGUUGCAAAAAAACUAUUGAAUAUCAUUUUAUUAACUGAAAAUAAAAUGCAAAAGGAUGGUGCAUCUGUAGGAUGAUCAGUACUCAAUUUGAGCAUUUGAUUAAUCCGCGCUGCUUAUUCUCUCAACACUUGCCUCAUGUUAGAUUACUGUAAGUUACUGCAAUUCAAUAGCUUAAGUUCACGGUACCUUAUCUUAUUAUCAGAAAUAAAAUGUAUGUAUGAUCCUGAUAACUAAGUAACCAGUAACUGUCAAUAGAAGAGAGAGAUAUAGAACACACCUUGAUUUGAAACCCUGCCAACGUGCCCAAUCUGACAAAAGAAGAUCCCACCUUUGGCAUGAACAGCAUCUACAAUCGGUUUCCAUGCUUCAACUUGCUCCUUUGUCCAGAUACCAGGUGUAUCUGGAUACCUUACAAUAAAAGAAACAACAGAACACACAAGAUUUUCAAGCAACUAAAUACAGGUAAUGCUUUCGAAACUCAAACAUACAAUUUCUUAUCCAUUUAAUGCCUCAAAAAACUCUUAAAACAGUUAAACGGAUGUAAAAUUACCCUUGAGCAGUGUCGGAAACUCCAGUGGCUUCGGCUAUAAGCAAACCCCCUUUGGUGGUUCUUUGAGAGUAAUACAAAAUGGCAUGUGGCUGAGGAACAUUGUUGUAUGAUCUCUGUCUAGUCAGUGGUGCUAAAACAACUCUGAAAUAAACAAAACAAGCAAGCCGCAAUUCAAUUAGCCCCAUCACCAAUAACUCAAACUCAAAAGAAAAAAACCCAUAAAAUUGCAACAUUACACUUAAACUGCCUCUGUAACACUCUCAGUCAGAUCAUAGACCAAACGAACAAAUACAAAGAAGAUACAGAAACUAAAUCAGAUCAUACAUUCAAAUCAGUUAAGGGUAUUAUAAGUUAAUAACCGGGCGUGCUUCUGCUUAAUUACCAAAAAAGGACAGUUAAAAAGUGUUCCGUAAACACCAACAGUUUUACUCGAUAGCUACUGAUUCACUCCACAUAGAGACUGUGAAUUAAAAACCACAGUAACUAAAUCCCAAAUAUUUCCUAAUCCAUUCCAAAUAUUCACUAAUCCAUUCAUUCUAAAUGGACAAGGAUUCAGUGGUCCACUGCGUUUGCGCUGAGCCCUGGAUAAACAGUGAGAAUCUGAGUGCUCAUGAUGUGAAUGCUCGCCACUCAAAUGUACUUUGGCAGAUAUCACUUUCGUCAAUAAAGUUAACGCCAUACAAAAAUCCAUACAGCGAAAGAAAAUGUAAAUCCAAAAAAAUAAAAAUAAAAAACUCAAUGAAAUAAAAGGUGGGUACAAUCGGUACCUAUCAGAAAGAUUGAGACUGCCCAUAUUGUAAGGAGUGAGAAGAGGGAUGAUGGGAGUUUCAAUGGCCAUGUUACCGUUGUUCUCUUCUUGAUUUUGCUUAGCCUCCUCUGCUCUGUUUCCCAUGUUUAGUAGAAUUACAAGCAAAUUGAGAAUCCUUAACGCGACUGAAAAUAAAAUGAUUAAAGAAACGGAAGGGUUCAAUUGGGUAUUUAUAGACCGAAAUGGGUCGACCGUUUUGGAAUAUAAAAAAAUUCCACGAGGGGCGAAUCAGUCUCCAUUGCCAUUGGAUUCAAUGUUCACAUAUGUUUAAAAUGCUUUUAAUAGCUGGCACGUGACGUUUGCAAGUACGUAGCCGGCUGCUGUUGCCUGUCUUUGAACAACUAACCAAUAUGCUUUUAUUUUUAAUAAUGAGAUUCUAAGGGCUGUUUGGAAUUAUUGUUGAGAAGUUUAAAAAUAAUUUUUAAAAGUUAAUAGUUAAUUUUAGAUUUUGAUAAUUUUUUAAAAAUUAUUUUUGGUAAAUUUAUUUUAAUUUUAUAAUGGAUUUUAAAAAAUUGAGAAUAAGUAGUUUUUCAAAAUUUAAUUUAAGAAUCAAUUUUAUACCUAACAUAAUUUCAUACAUAUUCUCAAAUUUAUUAUAUAAAUCUAAAAUUAUCCUUUUUAAUUAGGAAAUAAAAUCAUUAACUUAAAAAAAAAUUAUUACUUCCCAUUAUAUUAAGAUAACAAAAAAAUUAAUAAUAUAAAAUAUUUAUUUUAGUUAUCAAUUAUCAUUUAUACAAAAUAAAAAUAUUUUAUAUACAUAUUUAUAAAUAUAUAAAUAAAAUCAAUUUAACAUUAAGUCUAGUUCAAUCGUUUACAUUCUUAUAGCAAUUUAGCAAUAAAACUUAGCACACAUACAAUUAUUUUUAAAACCCAUAAUACUUUUUAAAACGCAUAGUAUUUUAAAAGUUACAUUAUUAGUAGAAUAACCCUAAGUUAUUGUGCUGAUUGUACUGAUUGAUUGUAAUAAUUCUAUUUAAUGGAAUGAAAGUUUAGGGUGCCUAAAAAAUAUGUAUAAUUAAAUGAUUUAAAAAUCAAGUAGUACCAACAAAGAAAGUAAAAUAGAAUUAAAAAUUAUAUUUAAAGAAACAUGAAAUUGGUUUUAAUUAAGAAUAUCAAAACAUCAUAUAAUUGGAGUGACUUCAGCAAUGACAAAUUAAUCUAUAAUGUACUCAAACGGAAGUGAUCUGUCUUUGUCAAGACUCAAAAUAUUGAAAUUAGUUGAAGGGAUCUCUUCUUUAUUAGGAAAUUUUUUAUUAUUUCCCUAAAAUAAUUAUAAAAAAAAUUACUCCACAUGGAAAGUUUUUGUUAUAAUUUUUUAAUUAGUCGCUUUCCGCUUUCCCAAAUUUCCUUCGCCCAGUAAAAGUGCUACCUUGUCCCUUUCACUAGUGGUCUAUUUUCCAUAGUUAUUAUCUCAAUCAAGGUAAUUAGAUUUUAUUAUAAAUUUAUCAAACCUUUUUGCUCAUCAUAAUAUAUAGUUUCUGUUUUACUUAUUUAUAAGAUUUUUCAACAAGCGUAUAUUUUCAGCUGCGAAUCUCAGUGAAGACAUUACAAAACAUUAAAAUAGAAAAAUGAGUUCUUUUUAGAUUGUAAAGUUAUCUAUGUUAAAGAUAUAUUACAAAUACUACAUGACUAAAAUUUCAUUAUUGAUGAAUUCUAUAGUUUUAACUUUUAAGUCGCAAGUAUUUCUAUUUUUACACUAACGAGUCGUCUUUCUUAUAAUCUUUUCCAUUACAGAACCUAUAUAUUAAAGUUCUACACGUCAAUGCUAAAUUAAAAAAAAAAAAAGAUAAAAGAAAGAAAGAAACCACCCCAUGGUCAAUAAUCAAUAUUAUAAACUAUUAAAGAAAAUGAUGCAUCCCUCUUAAUUGAAACGAAAACAUGUCCAAGUUCAUCUUUGUCAUCAAAUGAACCGACAAAGUUAUCCAGGAAAUUACAAAUUUAACCAUAAGAAGUUGGAAUUAUAACCAUUAGACCACUCACUAUAAAAAUAAUAGCAUCGGAGUACUAUAUAUUGUGGGUCUUUAUGAUUUUUUAAUAAAAGAUUAACGUAUUUAUAAUUUUUAAUAAAAGAUUAAUGUAUUCGUAGUCUUUUAACCACCUCGUAAUCCUAAUUUAUUUUAUAUUUUUGUCGAAUUAAGACAAAAGGUUCUAUCGAACAUUUUGCAAACGAAAGGACUAUUGCAUCCAGUUUUUCAUGUUUGUGGUUGUUUUUGACAUUUAGCCAUAUCUCAAGUGUAUUGAAGCAUAUAUUUAUUCGACUUGAGUAGAGUUUUAUACUUAACAAAUAUUUUUUAAAAAAAUAUUAAAGCAAAUAUUUAUUCGUAUAUCAUCAUCAUGGUCGUCGUAGUUGUCAUUAUCAUCAUCAGUAAAAUAAUAAUAAUAAUAAUUUAUUAUAUCUUAAUAGUUUGUAAUUUUUUUUUAAUUUAUUUUAGAGAUAGAAUACAUACAAUUUUCUUUUUUGAAUUAUUAUGAUAUAUAUCAUAUAAAAGUAAAGAAUUUUGAAAUUUAAAAAUAAAUUAUGUUUGAAUGUUCACUUAGACAAAAUACAAAAAAAUAAUAAUAGGGACAUAUUGUGCUUUAAAGGCUUUGAAAUUCUUCUUUAAGUCUUGAAUUUCCGCAAUGACCAAAUAUAUUUCUGUUAGGCUGCCUUCUCUGUUGUUUAUCAAUUCUGGUACUUCAUGAGAAUUAGUUUCUAGGAUAACUGACUGUAGACCUGCUUCAUGUGCUAUUUUGAUGCCCUACUCAGCUGCUUCUACUUCCACAUAUGUUACAUCUCUCCUAAACCUUGAGGUUUUUAUAGCUGCAGCUAAGCACUUUCCAGUGGAGUCUAUGAUUAUUGCUCCCAAUCCCGAGCAUUGUCUUUUGGUGUCAGUAGUUGCAUUAACAUUUAUCUUUAGCCAUCCAUCGGGUGGAAGGGUCCAGGAUUUUGGUUUUUCCUUCUGCAUUUUUCCUAGAUUCAACAUCUCCGGAAAUUUUGUUCUUCUAAAAACUUCAUUGACUACUUCAGCUUUGGCCAUUUGCAAUCCUUGAUCCAACUUUACACCUUCAAAUACAAAUUUAUUCUGAGCAUGCCAAAUCACCCACCACAUUGACGCCACAAGCUCAAGUUCAGCUUUACUUAAUUUCUUCUGAAGCAUCAUCAAAUCCCCCAAGAGGUUUGCAUUUCUCAUCUAUUGAAUUGCAUUCACCAUUGAUGAAAGCUGCCAAACCUUUCUUGCUGCUUUGCAAGUGACCAUGGCGUGCAUAGUAUUUUCCACUCUAUUUCUACAAUGCUUGCAGUGACCUUCCUGAAUAAUUCUACGCUUCCACAAAUUAUCAGCUGUCGGUAGUAAGUUUUUAAUUACUUUCCAAAUGAAAAUCUUAAUCUUUUUUAGGAUGGUAAGGGUCUAUAUGAUAUUCCAAUUUCUGCCUUUACUGUUGGAGCAAUUUGGUGAAUUCAAAAAUUUCAUAUGUAUAGCCACUUGGUAUCCACUAUUGACCGAGUAUUUCCCCUUUCUGUCGUAAUGCCAGAUGGCUUGUCCUUUGCUUUGUCCUUUUGGCAAAGGAAUGCUGAGAAUUGCAUCUACAUCUUCCUUUAAAAACAUCUUUUGGAUCAAGUCAGUCUUCCAUCUGCUUUCAUUGUCUAUCAACUCUGAAACAAUAGCAUCGAAAGGCAUCCUUGGACUAGGAAACGGUUUGAAAAAGUGGAUGGUCUUGGAAUCCAAUUUCCUUUGUAGGCUAAGAUGUUUUACCCAUUACCAAUUCUCUAUCUAUAUCCAUUAAGAAUUACUUGUCGACCCCAAAGUAAGCUUCUCUAAAUAUAAGAUGGGUUUGGCCCCAUUGAAGCAUUUAGAAAAUCAGUCUUCUUGAAAAUACCUAGCCUUUAAAACAGUAGCUGCAAGGGAAUCUGGAUUUUGAAUCAAUCUCUAUCCUUGCUUAGCUACCAUGACUUGGUUAAAACUUGAUAUGUCUCUAAAGCCCAUUCCCCCUCAAAUUUUAGCUUGACUCAUCUUCUCCCCUCUGAUCCAAACGAUGCCCCUUUUUUUCCUUCUUUUUAUUGCUCACUAAAUAUCAUCACACAGACCAAUAGGUAUCUUGAAGACACUCAUUGCAUAAGCUGGUUGUGCCACUACUUUUAUCAGGACAUCUUUUCCUCAACUCGAGAAAAGUUUCUGUUGCCAACUAGAGAUCUUGCUCUAGACUUUUAGCUUAAUCUUAUUGAAGAAAAUUUUCUUUUUCCUCCUUAUCAUUGAGGGCAACCCCAAGUACUUCUUAUGCUUCGUUACCACAUUGAGCUGAAAUAUUCUUUUAAUGGCCGAAAUUUGGUUUGCACAGACACUGUCGCUGAAGAACAUGCAUGACUUUUCAAAAUUAAAAAUUUGGCCAGAGGUAGUGGCAUAGCAAUCGAACAAACCUUUUAAAUGCUGGAAAUCUUUAAUUGAGGCUUUGGAAAAAAAAUUAGGCUGUCAUAUGCAAAUAAGAGGUGAGAAAUAGAGAUAUGUUGUCCAAAUUUCAACCCAUGUAUUAACUUGCUUUUCUCAGCCUGAAUCAACAAAUUUGAAAGAGCAUCUGCAUAUAUUAUAAACAGAUAAGGAGAUAAAGGGCAUCCCUGCCUCAAGCCCCUUUUAGGAAUAAUCUUGCCAUUUGGUAUUCCAUUUAUGAUUAUAGAAAAGUAUGACGUAGUAAUGCAAUUCAUAAUUAAAUUUAUCAACUUCUUAGCAAAACCUAAUAUGAUCAUUGUCUCCUUUAAAAAAUCCCACUAUGCCCUAUCAUAAGCUUUGUUGAUAUCUAACUUCAGAGCCACCAAGCCAUUUUUUUUUUCCUUUGUUAUGCCUAAUCUUAUGGUGGCAUUCAUACUCAACAAUGAUAUUAUCCAUUAUCAAUCUGUUGGGGAUAGAACCACUCUACGAAGACUUAAUUACAACAUGUAGGAUAGUUUUCAAUCUAUUUGCAAUAGUUUUACAACAAUCCUAUAAAUGAAAUUACAAAGAUUUAUUGGUCUAAAUUCAGUCACUUUCCUAAGCUUUGCAUUAUUGGCAAUUAAAGCAAUGUAUGCGUGGUUCAAAGGAGCAAUGUUACUUGCUUCAUUGAGGAUGUGAAGACAUGUGGUGAUGUUAACUAAUGGCCAGUGCUUCAAAUAAAAGGCAGCCGGUAGCCCAUCAGGGCCUAGUGUCUUGGUUAGACACAUUUGAUUUAGAGCCUCCAUUAUCUUUUCCUCUGUAUAUGGUUGAGUCAGAUACUCAUUCAUUUAAGCUAAAACUUUUGAGACCAUUUCUUUCAAAGCACACUCCAUUUGAUCUUGAGUAGGGUUGGAAGUUGAAAAUAACUCUGCAAAGUAACUGCAGAACUCUUUCUCAAUAUCUUCAUUUUCUUCUACCCAUUUUCCCUAUGCAUCUUCAACUCCUCAAAUUUUGUUCUUCCUCUUUCUAGAUGAAGCUUUUGAGUGGAAGAAUUUGGUGCUUUUAUCUCCCUCCCUCAAUCAAUCAGCCCUAAACCUCUCUCUGUUUCCAAAAGAUCUCUUCAUCUAAAAGGAGGUUAUGGAUCUGCCUCUCAAUGCUUAUCAAUUCUUCACUCCUAUCCCACUGUCCUUCAUACUAGAGCUCUUAUAUUCUGUUCAUCAGCUUCUCUAAUUUCUUCUUGCUUCCUUUAAAAGUUUUCUUACUCCAGUGUAUUAAUUCAGUUAGUGAAGAUUUGCUGGCUUGUUUAAAAAGCUGCACUGCAUUAUCCCCUGACCAGUCUUUGGUCGAUUCUGCCUUUACAAUGUUCUUACACUCAUCAUAGUUGCUCCACAUGUCUUCAUAAUAGGUUCUUGAAAAGGUUAUUUUAUUAUAUGGCUUUCUAUUGGCUCUGCUUAUCACUUCCAUCAAAAUCGAAUUGUGGUCUGAGCACCAUAUAAUCAGAUUUUUUUGCAGCUUGGUUUUAGAAAGAAUUUGUCCAAUCAUUACUACAUAAAAAUCUAUCUAGACGUUUUUCAACAAAGUGGCUACCAAAUCUCCUAUUAGACCUGUAAAAGGGUGGCUUGUAUAACCCAAAUCUUUCAAAUUGUAAUCCUGAAUAUCAUCUCGAAACUCUUUAAUCAUAUGAACCUCCAUGUCUUUUCCUCCAUUUUUUUCAUCUAAGUGCAUUAUCUCAUUGAAAUUGCCAAAGCAUAACUAAAGGGGUGAAGAUAAACCUGUUAAUCUCCUUAAUAAAGCCCAGGUGUGUUUUUUCUGACUCGUUUCUAGGUGCCCGUAGAUUCUAGUGCAUCUCAUCUACUUCCCACUUUCAGUUCUACCUCAGUAUUUAUGCGGUGUUUACUGAAAGAGGUAAUAUCUACCCUUGUUGCUGAAUUCCAAAGCAUAGCUAGACCCCCAUUCUUACCACCUCUACUAACCCAAAAAUAAUUUUCAAACUUCAGCUUCUUGCCAACAUUUUCCAUGUGUACAGAUGUCAAUUUAGUUUCACAUAGAAACAUUAAUUGAGGCGUAUACCAUGUGAGGAAUUUUUGGAGAACUAUGAACGUCCGGUCAUUCCCCAUCCCCUGGACAUUCCAGCUUAGAAUCCUCAUAGCUGUCGGCAGGGUUGGUGUUCUGCCUCCGCCGAUUGAGUUGCAUUGUUUGUGUUUUUAACAUUUUCUCCAUUCUUGAAACAACCCAGUUGAGCUUAUAGCUAAGAGGAGAUGUAUUGCAGGAGCUUUCUCUAACUAUUGAGUUUUUCUGUGGGCUUAGGAUUUGGGUUUUUUUUUUUUAUGAUUUGGGCUUGACCUUAUUACUCCACAACCUAGUCUUUUUCCCACAAUUAGCCCUUCUUUUGUGUGUCCUUUGCUACUUACACUUCUAGCUGGCAGCUUUCACUUCUUUCUCUUAGGCCUAGCAUUUUUUGUUUUCGGUCCAUCACAUACUACUUCUCUGGGCUUGAGUUGCUUUGAUAUUUUUUUGGGCUUGUAUUUAGAGUUAAUUUUGGCUUCAAAUUUAGCACCAAAUUUAACUUUAUUCCCUCUCAAUUCUCUGUUCCCACUUUUUCUCUCUUUUUUCCAUGAUUGUUUAAGUUGUCGGCUGUAUUUUCGGUAUCAGCCAUGUUAGGUUACUUUUGACCGUGUCUUUCUGAUUUCUUGGUUCUAGAGUCAUUUGUAUUAAUUACUCCCCAAUUUUCCUUGUUUAACUAUCAUGAUCUCCCCGAAAUAGAUUAGUUUGACUCGAGUUCAUGUUUAUACGGGUCUAAACCAAUUUGUUUUGCCUGUCUUCUCCCAUGGUGUUCUGCUUCCUUUGGUUCGUUUUUGAGCUGCUCAAACCUUUUAUUCCAUCUAUCUUUUCCCAUGUUCAUCCUAGUUUUUUCAACUUUGGACAAUGCCUUCAUGUACACUCCAUAGGGUAAUUUUUUUUUUUUGGUUGCCCCAUGUAUGAUUCACACUCUUUAAAUUGGUACCAAACGGUACCCCAGCAAAAGCAGAAAUCUGGGAGCCGUUCAUACAAUACUGGCAACUCCACCUUAUCAUCUUCUUCUAGCUCCAACCAUUUUCUGUAAUGGCUUUGUGAUGUCAAUGGAUAUUCUGACUCUUGCAUACAAACCAAUACACUCCCUGUCAUCAUCAUUUUCAACUUCCAACACCUCUCCAAUCAGUCCUCCCAGCUUUUGAACAUUGUCUCUCUCUAUGCAAACAAUGGGUAUAUUGUGAAUUCAUACCCAAAAAAGUGUAUGCGUGAAUUCUUCCUUUCUCAUGUUUCCUAUUCCACUGGGUUCUUUCAACACAAUCAAAGCCCUAUCGAAAUGACAUGGCUCUCCUGCCAUUAUUUUCUGUUUAUCAACUUCUAACCCAAAUUUGAACCGAAAAAUAUUGUUUCUCAUGCUCUCAAUCUUCACCUUUUUUGUUGUUUUCCAUGCUUGUGUUAAUGCAGUUUUGAUCACAUCCGUGUGGACACUCUUUGCCAAUAGAAUUUUUCCAACUAGAGAAUUUUCCAUUAUACGUCCUCUUUUUCCUUGCAUUCCGCUUCUAAUUGAUAGCUUUCGUUCACUGCCAUCUCAUAUAAAAAUAGCUUUGCAUUUACAUAUUAACUCAUCUGUGUCCAUAGAUGACGAACAACAAGUUUGCUCUUUACCUGCUAACUACCCUGUGUUUGAAUCUCGGAGUUUUACUCACUCUCACCCACUCUCUUAAAUGAACUCCCUCGAUUUUUAACUUCCUUGAUAAUUUUAAAUAAAAGACACUCAAUCUAAAAGACAUUGAAUUUGCAAAGUUUCAAUGGAAAUAUAUGUCUCUUCUUGCCAUUCUUUGCCCUCUCAACAUCGAAAAAAUUUCAUUUUAUUAGUUUUACUUUUAUGAAGAAUUUGAGUGUUCCAAAAGUAGUCAUGGCAAAUCCAACCUUUCCCACUUGUAAUCAAGCAUUUGAGUAUUAUCAUAACUUGUUUUGGAGGUAUAAGUGUUGCCGUGAAAGAUGCUAUAGGUAGCUUGCUUUGGAUUUCACUUCAUGCAAAAAUGGUCUUAAUCGAAUCAGAAACUCAUAUAGGUCUUAUUUCAUAUUAAGGUGUUCCAACUUUUAAAUUAUAGUUGUUGUAUGAAUGGUCUUAGUAAUAUGUAGUAAAAAAAAAUUUAAAAAUUUUUUUUAACAAAAUUAGUAAAUAUAUAUAAUAAAUUUUUUUAUCAUACAAGUAUAAAAUCAAAUUAACUUAGUUUCUAAGUUACAACAGCUAGUGCUUACUAGCUUUUAAGUUACAGUUGCUCAACCUCAAACCCCAAACUAGACCAUAAUUGGAAAGUACUUGACAAAUGUAUGCAACUUACUGUGCUUGUACACAAGUUCAAUUUAACAUUUCAGUAAUGUGCACGCAAAUAAAGGUUGCUCUAACUUGCUGCAAAUAAUGUAAGUUAAAAUUACAAAAGAGUGUAUUAUGCUAAAGGAUAUUCAUAAUUUUUUUAAGAAAUCAAGUUACUCUAAUUCACAUCCUUUUUUUUAAGGAUUUGCAUUCGAAUGAAAGCAUGAACGAAACAAGUAAUGGUGAGCUGGCUAUCUUCAGAAAUAAUCAUAUAUAUAAAUUUUAUUUUAUAAAAUUUUGCCAUAUUGCAAUAAUUAUAUAUUGAAGGGUCUUCAUUUGUAUAUAACACUAGGUGUUAGGUAUGUUUGCUUAUUGGUAUUUCUUUGACAAAAAUAUGUGAUAGUGCCCUUAGAAACACAGGUACAUAAUCAUCGAAAAAUCAAGUUUUCUUAAAAUUUAUGUGGAUGAUUAAUGAUGUAUCUUUUUUUAUCAGGUAUUUAAUUCAUUUGUAUAUGCAAAGGCCAUAUCUAUAAAUCAAGAUAAAUAUUUACGAGAAACAAAAAUGAAAGUGAAACAGAAUUAAAUUCAAGUUGUCCAACGAGAUAAAUAAUGAGUCCUAAUUCUCUUAUUCAUAUUUCCCUUAGAAACCCGGAUACUUCAUUAUAUAUUUCCAUCAGCCCAUAUAUUUCUUAGAUAUGAUUUUUUUUUCACUUCUUCAAAAGGAGCUACAUGUUUCUUACUUUGCAAAGGAUCCUGGCACAGAACGAGCAAGCUUGUGUGGACAUCCCUGACUGUUGGUAGGGAAAUUUAUGCCAAAAUGGGGAAACUGCAGAAUGGAUUGCAAGUGAUUCUAUUGUACUAGUUACCAAAAUAGGAUACUUAUGACAGCGGUUGCUGAUUUUUCCACGUGUUCAUAUUUCUUCCAAUAUAACCCAAGUAGUUCAUAACAUUGUAUAUAAUGAUGUAGUUCGACAAGUGUUGCGUAAGAAUCACAACAAUGCAAUUGCAUCCAUAUUGAAUAGGGGUGGGCACAAUUGGGUUUGAAUCAAUCCAAUCGGAUUUCGAGUUAGUUGGAUUGAGAAAAAAGUUAUUCAAACUCAAUCCGAACUGGAAUAUGAUCUAAUCUAAUCCGUAUGUAUUCGGAUUAGAUCAAAAGUUCGGGUUUAGUUCAAGUUGACUGAGCUAGGAUUAUAAACGGAUCGAAUUGUGUUCGGUUUAAAAUUGGACUUGGGUCGAUUCGAGUCAUGGGCAAUUUUGAGCUUUUAUUUUGUAUAUUUUGAGUUUUCUUUACAAAUUAUGUAGUUACUAGAAAAUUAUUUUCAUAUAAUUAUCUCAUUUUAGUCUGUUUUUACCAAUUCUAAAAAAAAAAUGAAAACUACUAGUCUACUACCAUUAAAAUCAAAUGUAUACAAAUUAAAAUAAACACAAAUUCUAAAUUUAAUAGCCUCCACCCAAAGCACGAUAUUCAAAUAUAAAUAGCCUUCAAAACACAAAGAUCACAAAGUUUAAAUAUAAUUAAAUAGUUUCCAAUACAAAGUCUAAAAAUAAAUUGUUUCUUAAACAACAAAAUCUAAACAUAAAUAUUAAAUAACCUUCCUUCACGUAAAUAUUUGGACAAGUUCUAACUUCAACUUCUUGUAUUCGAAGUUGGAGGAUGGAUCGCCUAGAGAAGAAUUGAAGAGAAAAAGUAAAUUAAAAAAUUACAAAUUUAUGCAAAGAUAUUGAUUUACUUUUCUUUUCUUUUCUUUUUUGCUAUUGGUGAAUUUGAAUGCAACUGUUGGAACUUGGAAUAUAGAUCAUUCAUGUAUGUAUCAAACAAAUAAUUGAACCACUUGUCAUCCACUCAUCCUAUCGUUUAGCCAAAACCAUGUUACUUGCAAUUCCUUCACCAUCCUCAACUAUCAACUUCUGCUGAUUUUCAUCUUGUUGUUGUUGGAAUGUCUUGUAUAUGUUAUAAAUUUUUAUAUUAUUUCUCAGAUUGGUAAUCUCCUCAUGCCUUGAAUGGCAUUGAUAGUGUUUACCACAAUAGUUGCACUAGCAUUUGUUUGAAUUGUCCUUAAAUAAAGUGAGAUGAUUCCACAUUAGAAAUCUUUUUUUUCAUUUGCUGUAUUUUUCGCCUGCUUCGCCUUUUCCCUCCCUUUUUGAUUUCCUUUUAGUUGUUCACUUUGUUCCUCAUCAUCAAUUGUGAAAUUUAAUCUUGAGUGUCUAGUCACUUGAACAUACAAAAAAAUGAAUAGUCAUCAUUAAUUCAAAACAUAAAACUAUUAAAAUAUCACCACAACACUCACAAUCUCAAACAUCCUCAGUACAUUUAAAAAUGAGUGCUGCUAUUUACCCCGAAUUUGCACCCCGAAAUCAAAACGCACCGUUUGCUCUGAGUUAAUCACGGGUCCAUUAUCUUGCUUUAUAUAAAGGAAAGGAAAAAGCUGGGGAAAGAAAAAGCAAAAGCAAAGUUGUUUCUUCACGUGUUUCUUCAGUCAACGUGUGGGCCUAACUAGAAAAUUUGUUGUGUCCAGCUGUGGUCUGCUAAUUUUACUUUGCUUUGCUAUUUUUUUCAUUCUUUGUUAUUUCCUUCUUUGUAUCAGAUGAUGAUACAUGCAUCAAACACAAUAACGAAAAUUGAACGAGAGUAAGAGAACGAACCAUCGAUCAAGAGUUGAGGGAAGAGGGGAAAAAAAGAGAUUGAAUUAAGAUGCAAGUGGCGUGGUUGAGUGGAUUUGAAACCAAAAAUGGAAUGAAAUCCUCCUGACUUAACAAACGAAUCUGCCUGAAGAAAAAGAGUGCUGCUAACUGGAAAGAGAAAUGGAAAGUGAAAGCAAAAUGUUUACCUUGCUUUACGGGCCUAACUAGAGAAGUGGAAAGUGAAAGCAAGGAAGUAGAAAGUGAAGGCAAAAUGAAGCAACACGUGUAGAGAGAAAAAAGUAAACGGUGUGUUUUGAUUUCGGGGCGUAGAUUCGAGGAGCAAAUUCGGGAUAAAUAGCUUUUCCUUUAAAAAUCACAAAUAAUAAUAAGACUAGGAUAAUUGUGCUAAAAAUAAUUAACAAUACAAUUUCAAUUAAUAAAUUAAUUAGUCUCAAUCUAAGCAAAAAACAAUGAAACGGAAUUUUACAUGAUGAUUAUUUAGGAAUAAAAUUUUAACAUACAUUUUCUUAUAUAAAUUUAUAGGGUUUGAUUUGUAUUGAAAUUAAAAUUAAAAAAUAUGAUCUCUAUACUCCUAUUCACUAAAUUACUAAUUCUAACUAAAAUCAUGGAUAAAUUGUGACUUUUUCUUGCUGAGUAGUCUUAUUAAGCAUACAAAAAUCAUUGAACUUGAAAAGUUAUAAACGUAAUAGAAAUUUGGAAAUUAAUUAUUUAAUAUAAUAUAUAUAGUAUAGUAAUGUUCAUUGAAAAAAGUAAGUUGGAGGAACUUAAUGGCUAUCGAUCAAGGUGGAGCAAGUUGCAGCAGUGGUCAUGGUGUAUUGUGUCAGCAUGUCAUAGACUCACGAUGGCCUGGCUUCAUGCAGUUGCGUUGGUGAGUCAGUGACUACUGUUGUGUGUGUGUUGUCUGGUGAGUCUACUGUGUUGUGUAUCUUGUCAUGCAAACUGCUAUGCCAAUUACUAUGCUGCCACUGAUUUGUAGGUAUGCAUGAAUGCUUAGUACAUGUGUGGUGCUUUUUUUUUAAAAAAAAGAAAGUAAACCUUUCACAAAUCACAAUACAUCAAAUACAACUUGAAUCUUAGUUGGGAUAGUUCCUAACCAGAUAGAAGAAGAGUUUCUCCCCAAAGCUAACUUAACUAAGGAAUGGGCAUAAGCAUUACAUUAUCUUGGAGUAUGAUGGACUGAAACUUUAUGAAAAUCCUUCAACUAAUUUUGGAUCUCUAGAAUUGUCCAAAAUUUUUUUGUUUUGCUACCCUUAGUGUUGUUUACUAACUGGACCAACUCUAAGCAAUCUGACUCAAUGAUCAAGGAGGCUAAAUUUGCUUCUCUCGACACUUGAAUUCCACAUAACAUAGCCUCGGCCUCUACAUUACUUACCGUUCCCUUUAGAGAAGAUUGAUUGAUGCCAGCUGCAAUUACCUUGCCGUUUGUUCCUCUGAUGACUACUCUCACUCAUGUAGUCUGAUCCUUGGCAUUAAUGGCAGCGUCGACAUUAACUUUGAAGACAUUUUCGGGGAGGGGGGGGAAUCCACUUCUGCAGCUUCUCUCCACUGGAGUAGGCAAUAUGAGAGGGGUAUGUCUUCCUUACUCUUUGAAAUGCAUCCAAAAUAGACUUUGCCUUUGCAGUUGAGAUAUUGAGGGCUAUCUUCUUGCCUUCGAAAAUAAAUUUGUUUCUAGAAAACCAGACAGCCCAACACAAAGCUACCAUUAAUUCCAAAUCAGCUUUCCUUAACUCAUUGGCCAUUCCUUGCAAAAUGCUAAAAAUGUCCUGAGAAUGAUCUUUAAAGCUUGGAACUGUAAAGGGAGAUUGUAGCCAGAUCGAUUUUGCUGCCUUGUACUCCAAUAAGGCGUGGCUUAUAGAUUCUAUGCUCUUUCUACAUAUUUGACAAGUUGGCUCUUGAAUGACUUUUCUUUUCCACAUAUUUUCUGUUGAUGGGAGCAAAUUGUUUGAUGCCCUCCACAUGAAUAUUUUUAUUUUUUCAGGUAGCUCCAGGGACCAAAGGGCACUCCAAUACUGAGACAUGCUCUCUAAGCUACUAGGAGCAUUUGGAAAUUUCAUUCUUAAGGCUAGCUGGUACCCACUUUUGACCGAGUAUUCUCCCCUUUUAUCAUAAUGCCAUAAAACAUCAUCAUCCAAAUGUUCUUUUGGGAGAGGAAUCUUAAGAAUCAUUGCUGCAUCUACUUUCAUAAAGUGUUAGUUCAAAUUGUCUUCAUCCCAAUGGUUAUCUUCCUUAUUUAGGUUUGCCACCACUAUGUCUGCUCGCAAAGUAGGGGGGCGAUUGGCUUGAACGUAUCCGGCCUUGGCAGCCAAUUAUCCUUGUAAACAUAUAUGUUCUUGCCAUUGCCCACCCGCCAUCUAAAACCUUUCUUGAUUACUUCUCUGCCCCAAAGAAUGCUUUUCCAGAUGAAUGAAGCAUUGGACCCUACUGAUGCACCUAGAAAGCUGGAGUUCUUGUAAUAUCUUGCUUGAAGGACUCUUGAGACCAGAGAAUUUGGGUACUGCAAAAACCUCCAAGCUUGCUUUGCCACCAAGGCUUAGUUAAAGCUAGUAAAAUCCCGAAAUCCCAUCCCACCUCUGUUUUUUGCAUGGCUGAGCUUUUCCCAUUUUAACCAAUGGAUACCUUGCUUAACUUCCUUCGUUCCCCACCAAAACUUCGCUAUAGCCCGUUGAAUGUCAUCACAAAGACCUCUCGGAAGCUUGAACACACUCAUUGCGUAAGCUGGGAUAGCUUGGGCUGCCGCUUUAAUAAAGAUUUCCUUACCCCCACUCGAAAACCUUUUAUGCUGCCACCAUGUGAUCUUGUUUAAAACUUUUAGCUGCUGCCACCAUGUGAUCUUGUUUAAAACUUUUAGCUUUACUUCAUCGAAAAAGCUUAGCUUCUUUCUUCCUAUCAUUGAGGGGAGGCCUAAGUAUUUUUCAUGCUUGGAGACCACAUUUAACUUGAAAAUGUCUUUAAUAGCAGUUGGAUUGUUGUCGAAAAUCUCCUUCAGAUGCUUACAAUCAGCCACUGAAGCACGAUAAAAAACUAGGUUAUCAUUCGCAAAUAGCAAGUGGGUAAUUGAGACUUCUUUUGCAAAUUUCAGACCUUGGAUUAGCUGAUUCUUUUCCGCCUUCACCAGCAUAUUGGAGAACGCCUCAGCACAGAUGAUAAAGAGAUAUGGAGAUAGCGGGCAGCCCUGCCUCAGACCUCUUUCCGGCUGAAUCAUUCCCUUUGGCACACCAUUAAUAAUCACCGAGAGUGAGGCAGUAGAGACACACCUCAUAAUCAAAUCCACCCAAUUAGGUGAGAAACCCAGCCUUAACAAUGUUUGAUUAAAAAAAGACCACUCAAGUCUAUCAUACGCCUUACUAAUAUCUAGCUUAAGAGCCACAAGAUCGUUCCUCUUCCAUUUACAGUGUCUUAUCUUAUAGAGGCAUUCAUAACCAAUAAUAACGAUGUCUAUAAUGAGUUUAUUGGUUAUAAAUGCACUCUGCAUUGGAGAAAUGAUUUGGGAGAGGAUCAGUUUCAUUCUAUUUGCAAUAGCCUUAACUACGACUUUAUAAAUUACAUUACAAAGGCUUAUGGGCCUGUAAUCAGAGACUCUCCCAGGCUUAGCAAUUGUAGGGAUCAAGGCGAUAAAAGUAUGGUUAAGAGGAGACGGGUUACCUUGCUCAUUAAGGAUAUGAAGACAUGUUGUAACAACUCUAUUGCGAAUUAAUUUCCAAUGCUUCUGAAAAAAUACAGCAGUUAAGCCAUUUGGACCUGAGGCUUUUGUGGGGCACAUAUGUCCUAGCCUCCUCUAUAUCCUUUGGAGUGAAGGGCUUCUCCAGCUGGGCAUUCAUUUCUGAUGUUACUUUUGUCGGCAUUCCUUGAAGAGCAGCUUGAAUUUGGCUUGGAGUUGGGCUGGAUGUAGUGAAGAGUUCUUAAAAGUAACAGCAGAAUUCCUUUUCUAUAUCAUCUAUCUCCCUUAGCCAGACGCCUUGAGAGUUUUCUACCCCCCACACCUUAUUCUUUUUUUUACGGGCAGAAGUCUUGGCAUGGAAAAACUUAGUGUUUUUGUCUCUUUCUCUUAGCCAGUCAGCCCGCGAUCGUUGCUUCCAAUAGAUCUCCUCGUCAAUAAGCAUGGAAUUGAUAUAGCUUUCAAUCUUCCUGAUCUCCUCUCCAUCAGUCAGUUUAGAGCUUCCUUGCAUAGCAUUCUGAAGGCUCUGAAACAACUUUUCUUGUUUUCUUUGUCUUCCUUCAAAUUCGUUUUUACUCCAAAGUUUAAGCUAAGCUAAAGACUUUUUUGCUAUCCACUGAAAUUGGUGAGCAGGAUCCUCCCAAGCUCUAGCCCCAUAGUUUCCCCACUCAUCCUUUACUAUGCUCCUACAGUCUUCGUAAGAACUCCACAUAUCCUCAUAGUGGUCACGGGGAAACGAUCUGCUCACAGUCCUCGACUUCUUGCAUCUCUAUUUGAAUUCUAAGACUAUUGGGCAGUGAUUUGAGACCCAAUUAACAAGGUUUAUGGCUGUAGAGUCUUAAAAUUUGUUGCCUCAAUCCUUACUACACAAGAAUCUGUCCAGCCAUUUUUCUAUGUAAUUAGAACCAAAUCUCUUAUUAGACCAUGUAUACGGGUACCCCUUGCAGCCCACAACCUCUCUAAACUCGACAACCACAUUUACAUUCUUCUCGUUGCUCCCAUUUUUCUCAAACAUAUGCAUCACUUCAUUGAAAUCCCCAAAGCAACACCAAUGGUGGGACGAAAGAUUAGCUAACCUUUUUAGAAGGGUCCAUGUGCUGCGCUUCUAGCUGAGCUCUAGGUGGCCAUAAAUCCCCGCACAUCUCCAAACCAAGCCACUUUCACUACUCACUAUUGCAUCUAUAUGGUGGGGCCUGUAUGAGGUGAUAUUGACAUUAAUGUCUGCUCCCCAGAGCAUAGCUAGGCCUCCACCCAAACCAUUUCUGUCCACAGCAAAACAAUUUACAAAAUUAAAACUUCUGUAAAUUAAAUUGACCUACCUAGCCAUCAUCUUAGUUUCACAACAAAAUAGUAUUUGGAGCCGGUGCAGUUAUAGAACUUUUCUAAUUGCUAAGUGCGUUUGAGGCUUCCUCAGACCUCGAACGUUCUAGCUGAGGAUCUUUAUGGUUGUCGGCGAGGCUGAUCAUCAGUACCCGCCAAUAGGUCUUCAUCCAUUGCUUCCAAGUUUUCCCCUGCAUCUAGCACUUAUUCUGCUUGCUUCAGCUAGCGAGCUACUUUGUUGGGGCUAAAAUGGUUGCAGUUGCCUAAUGCUUUUGCUAGGCUUAUGUGUUUUCCUUCCUACAGUUGCUUUUUUGGACUGGACACUCACUUCUUUUUGCUCUCUGGGCUAGGCCCAUGACCUUCACUGUUGUGUCUUUUACUUCCUAUGAAAGUAAUAUUAUUUGCUCCUUCUCCUUUGGUGUUUCUUGCCCGUAAUUUCCAUUUUCUUCCUUUGGAUUUCACGGUGGCCUUGCUGGCCCCAUCAUCCAAAUCCUCUUCAUCUGAUCUGGCACCCCAUGUGUCCUCCUCCAUUUUAUUUUCCAUCUUCCCCACAUUAUCUUUUUCUACAAGAUUUUCAUUUUCCCUCCAAUCCUUCUUUUCUGCCUUUUUUUGCGUUCAUAUCUAGAUUGGCACCACCCUGCAAGAUUUUCAUUUUCAUUACUAGUCACUCUGUCCUGCAACUUGUUGAUGUCACCACCCUGCUUUAAUGCACCACUUGCUGGUUUUCCUGCUAUGUUACACUCAACAUUAGAUGCUGCCCAUCAGCUCUUGGUUCCUUGUUUUUACCCACUGGUUCAUCACCAUUAUCUAUCUCCGGACCCGAUUCGAUCAGGUAAGACCCAUUUUGACUAUCCGAGUUGUUUUGAGACUGGUAUGGCCUUAGGCUAGUUGUUGCUGAAUCAUUUGCUCUGGAAUGGAAUUGUUCUCAAUUGCCUUUCCCUUUACUUCGAUUUUGUUUUACCCUUUCAGCCUGAGUGACUGCUCUCAUCCAUCCCCGUAAGGCAGAUCCUCCUUUUGUUGUCCUUUGUACCUCAGGCACUCUCUGUACUGAUGACCUACAUGCGCGCAACAAAAGCAAAAGUCCGGUAGCUUUUCAUACAGGAUUGGCAUUGGAAUUUUUCCUUCAUCUUGUUGUAAAAACACAAUCUUUUUUAAUGGCUGAGUAAUGUCAAGGGAGAUUCUUACUCGAGCAAAUUGUCCUAUGCAAUCCCCGGCUUCGUCUGUCUCUAUUUUCUUGACCUCACUAAUCUUUUCACCUAGUUUUUCAAUUGCCUCCUUGUUCAUGCACAUUAUGAGUAUAUUUUGGAUCUGCACCCAAAAUGUUGUAUGCGUAAAGAAUUGAUUUUUGAUAUCACCAAUGUCGGAUGGUUCGAUCAAAACUAUCAGUGCUCUGUCAAAAUGCCAUGGCCUUCCUAUAAGCAGUCUUUUCUUUUCUUAUUCUGAAGCAAACUUGAAGAGAAGAAUAUUAUCCCCCAUGCUUUUAAUUUUUACCUCCUUCACUAUUCUCCAAGCCGUUUGCAUAGCUGUUUUCAAGCCUUCCCAGUUUAUGCUUCGUGAAAGCAACACCUUCCCUACUAGACAAUUCGCAGCAACUUCUUCUCCCUUAAUCCUCAUUUGCCCCAUGAAUGCUACUAUGCCUGCUUCUUCUUCUUUUAGAACGACAGCCUGACACUUGCGCAAUAAAUCCUCUGUAUCCAUACUUAGCUCUGAAUCCACCUACCCUCUAUUAUCCGCAAAUAAAAGCUAAAAGAAGGAGUCAAUCACCCAAAUUCCUUCAAGAAGUACUAUGGAAAAUUGUAAAAGAACACCCAACUAGUGAGCGAAUGAAAAAGCCAAAAUAGGCUUCAGUCUCCUUUCAUUCUAGUACCUUUCAGAGAAAAAGUACUAUAAAAGAAAGAGUAUAUGUGUCAUUGUUAUUCUGUACAUGUGUGGUGUUAAUCGAAUACAAUUAGGUUUAGUUUUACUCUUUUAUAGUUUUAGAUUAAAUAUUUAUUUUAGAUACGAACCUUGACCAAUUCAAAUCAAUUCUACUAACUGAUUUUUAAUCCAAAAUAAUAUAUAUAUUUAGUUUUCAUCAAACGGCUGAGAAAUGGGCCAAGCCCGUAUGCACACGUGUGAAGACCUGUUUUAUGUUUUGUCAAUUUGGAGUAGUGCAAGUAUUUUGAAAUUAACUGAAGGGAAAGCUAAGUGCGUAUUCAAACAUGCUGGUGAUGAAUUGCUCCAUGAUAAUUCGUUUUCCAAUUUAUGAGACGAAAGGAUGGUUUUGAGUUUGAUACCACAAUGCCUCGUCUUUCUUUUAUCCUUGUGAUUUUUGAGAAUUGCAGUCUCAAUUGGAAUGAGAGAGGAAGUGUAUGUGAAACGUAUAGGUAUAGAGCUUGGCCUUACGCCAAUACAAUUUUAUUGAGAUAACCUAUAUUGGCUUUUACAUAAACACAGUACAUGUAUAAAAAUUCAGAAAACAAGAUUAAAUCUGAGAGAAUGCUUUAUCAAUCUAAUGCUUUUUCUUGGUAACAUAAGAAGAGGUGUCGAGAAAGGGAUAAUCCGUGUAACCAACAACAGGAUCGGAAACAUAGAAUGUUUCUCUGUUGUACUUAUUGAGGGGGGCAUUGAACUCAAAUCUCCUGGGUAAAUCUGGAUUAGCCAAGAACAAGCGACCAUAAACAACAAGAUCUGCACGGCCUUCAGCAAUAGCUUUGUUUCCAUCUUCCCUGUCAUAACCCCCAGCGACAAGAAAAGUACCCUUGAAAGCCUUUCUCAUGGGCAGCAAACUGUGAGGACAUUCAGAUUUUUCUCCAACUGUUUUCAUCCUCGGAUCAACCAUGUGACAAUAGAGGAUACCAUAUUUGUUCAAGGAUUCUGCCAUGUAAAGACCUAAAGCUUCUGGGUUAGAGUCUCCUGAUUCCAUAUAGUUUGCAAACGGAGAUAGUCUUAUCCCAACCCUAUCUGCCCCUAUUUCAUUGGAAACAGCUUCAACUAUUUCUAAAGCAAAACGGCAACGGUUCUCUAAGGAUCCUCCAUACUGGUCUGUUCGAUCAUUCACUUGAUCCUUCAUAAAUUGGUCAAUUAGGUAGCCAUGUGCACCGUGGAGCUCAAUGCCAUCGAAACCUAUACAGCAUAAGACAAAGUUAGAAACCAAAAACCUGUACAGCAUGAACACUCCAUUUAUCUAACUCUUCUCAUAUAACUGAAAGCUCUGAGGCUCGCAUUGUGCGGACAGACAGACGGAGGGUCUAGCUUUCAUUUUAAGAACAAGAAAAAGUAUUUAAGCAUUUACUAGGUUGGCUCUCAAAGUUAAGGUUUAAGUUUUCAAAUUCUUUAUUCAAUAUGAUAAAUACAACUAUGGGACAAUAAGCAUAAUUGUAAAGAAACUUAAUUGUUUUCACAUAAACCUUACAGUACAAUAAAACAACAUUAUUUACAAGCCACAAAAGCCUAGUAAAAAUCUAUUAAUGCAUUUAUGUUUAGUUUCCCUUUCCUUCUGAUAGCCAUGCAUGGAAUGGAAGAAUCUCACUAUUCUUUUAUACUAUUUUCCUUAAUCUCAAGAAAAGUAGACCAUUGAAAUAUCACCCAUCCUGUGGCGACCUUAAAACACUUAUUGCCCACAAUUCAAUUUUUAAUUUCAGAAAAAAGAAUUUACCAGCCUCAAUUGCGUUUCUUGCAGCAAGCCUGAAAUCAUUCACAAUUUGAGGGAUUUCAUCUGUCCUUAGCCGCCUUGGACGAGUGAAUUGUGCAAUAUCAACACCAUUAGCGCGGAUUUGAGGUGUCAAUGGCUUGUCUGUACUGGAAAUUGGAGCUUGACCAUUUGGCUGAUAAUCUGUACAGUUCGAAGACAGGAAAAACCAAUGAAGAUCCAGUUGAAAUGAUUCUCAAAUUUCUAUAAAAUCAGUCAGAUCCAUCACAUGGAGGUUUUAAAAAAACUAUUGAAUGUCAUUUUAUUAACUGAAAAUAAAAUGCAAAAGGAUGGUGCAUCUGUAGGAUGAUCAGUACUCAAUUUGAGCAUUUGAUUAAUCCGAGCUGCUUAUUCUCUCAACACUUGCCUCAUAUUAGAUUACUGCAAUUCAAUAGCUUAAGCUCACGGUACCUUAUCUUAUUGUCAGAAAUAAAAUGUAUGUAUGAUCCUGAUAACUAAGUAACCAGUAACUGUCAAUAGAAGAGAGAGAUAUAGAACACACCUUGAUUUGAAACCCUGCCAACGUGCCAAAUCUGACAAAAGAAG
RNAcentral lists this long non-coding RNA (21991 nucleotides) under Citrus maxima (pomelo). Its description in RNAcentral is "long non-coding RNA (CMAX_LNC002432)". Lineage: Eukaryota; Viridiplantae; Streptophyta; Magnoliopsida; Sapindales; Rutaceae. The record is from RNAcentral.